RNAcentral lists this ribosomal RNA (520 nucleotides) under uncultured bacterium. Its description in RNAcentral is "bacterial SSU rRNA". It matches the Rfam family "Archaeal small subunit ribosomal RNA", at positions 345 to 866 of the family's 1478-position model. The record is from RNAcentral.
AACCUCCGCAAUGUGAGAAAUCGCGACGGGGGGAUCCCAAGUGCCAUUCUUAACGGGAUGGCUUUUCAUUAGUGUAAAGAGCUUUUGGAAUAAGGGCUGGGCAAGACCGGUGCCAGCCGCCGCGGUAACACCGGCAGCUCUAGUGGUAGCAGUUUUUAUUGGGCCUAAAGCGUCCGUAGCCGGUUUAAUAAGUCUCUGGUGAAAUCCUGUAGCUUAACUGUGGGAAUUGCUGGAGAUACUAUUAGACUUGAGAUCGGGAGAGGUUAGAGGUACUCCCAGGGUAGAGGUGAAAUUCUGUAAUCCUGGGAGGAUCGCCUGUUGCGAAGGCGUCUAACUGGAACGAUCUUGACGGUGAGUAACGAAAGCCAGGGGCGCGAACCGGAUUAGAUACCCGGGUAGUCCUAACUGUAAACGAUGCGGACUUGGUGUUGGGGUGGCUUUGAGCUGCUCCAGUGCCGAAGGGAGCUGUUAAGUCCGCCGCCUGGGAAGUACGGUCGCAAGACUGAAACUUAAAGGAAGU